This is a long non-coding RNA of Epinephelus lanceolatus (giant grouper), 687 nucleotides long. RefSeq lists it as uncharacterized. NCBI's taxonomy places the organism in Eukaryota, Metazoa, Chordata, Actinopteri, Perciformes, Serranidae. The record is from RefSeq and is a predicted model, not a curated record.
CAGGAACCUGAAAGCCCCGGAUGUUUCUUGUACCACCGCCUGCAAAUCUGUUUAGAGGCCCAGCAAGGAACUGUGGGAAAUGCAGUCGUCAAAGCUUUGUUGGCUAUAAAGGGUAUAACAUCUGGAGCUGCUCCUUUGACAAUGAACAGGGAAAUAUGUCAUGGAUGACACUGAGAGGAGCCAGGGCAAUGCUUGUGGAAAAAGGUGCUGUAGAAGGGACACUGCUGCUCCAGAGACAGUCAUCAAUGGGGGCCCGUGGAGCGACAGGGUGAAGCUCUGCUCCUGGCUGGAGGAGGAUCUGCUGCUGCUGCUGUUGGGCACGGCGCUCUCUGCCUCCCGCCAGAGCUUCGACUGCAGAUUGAAGGUGGCAACAAAGCCAGAUCUGUCUCUGUCUCUGCUGCCAUCUGAUAUAGAGCUAUCAGUAUUAAAUUGAGACUGUUUCAUAACCCAUUAAAAACGCCUUGUAGUUGCGUUAAAUAGCAACCCUUUUCUGUGUUAUGGUACAGCUGGUGUUCACACCUGAUGUGUACCGUACCAGAGUAUACAUGAACCAAACUGGAGACCACUUUUUAAGUAGGCUAUACCCUAGCACUGCCCAUAAUCCAGGCCUGGAUCCCUGAUGUGAACGGAAAGUCCCCUAAAGCUCAUUCGGGUAUAAAAAAGGAAUUCAUUGUCUACAGAGCAGCU